CAAAAGUCUACGCCUGCCAUUCUCUGCUAGCUCUCUCCGCCUCGCCUUUGUGGACCGAGAUGCAAGCUCUCAGCUCCGGCUCCAGCGCCAUGCCUGCAGGCUGCCAUGCUCCCCACAACAAUGGCCAUGGACUCUCUGAAAUAGGCUCUCACUACGCAGCACAGCAAGUUUGGAACUCAUAAUCCACCGACCUCGGCCUCCUGAGUGCUGGCCUUACAGGCGAAGAAGGUCAACAUGUCCGGCUGGAUGCUGAUUUUAAUUUUUAUUACUUUAAGAUUGGUAAAACCUAAG
This 291-nucleotide long non-coding RNA is filed under the name Cricetulus griseus (Chinese hamster). RNAcentral's name for it is "lncRNA (ENSCGRG00015031991.1)". The record is from RNAcentral. Lineage: Eukaryota; Metazoa; Chordata; Mammalia; Rodentia; Cricetidae.